This 497-nucleotide ribosomal RNA is filed under the name uncultured bacterium. RNAcentral's name for it is "partial 16S ribosomal RNA". It matches the Rfam family "Bacterial small subunit ribosomal RNA", at positions 35 to 507 of the family's 1533-position model. The record is from RNAcentral.
GGGGGGGGGGGGGGGGGGGGGGGGGGCGUGGGGGGCGGGCGGGCGGGGGGGGGGCGUGCGCCUCGGACGUGAGCGGCGGGCGGGGGGGUAACACGUGGAUAACCUACCUAUAAGACUGGGAUAACUUCGGGAAACCGGAGCUAAUACCGGAUAAUAUCUUGAACCGCAUGGUUCAAUAGUGAAAGACGGUUUUGCUGUCACUUAUCGAUGGAUCCGCGCCGCAUUAGCUAGUUGGUAAGGUAACGGCUUACCAAGGCAACGAUGCGUAGCCGACCUGAGAGGGUGAUCGGCCACACUGGAACUGAGACACGGUCCAGACUCCUACGGGAGGCAGCAGUAGGGAAUCUUCCGCAAUGGGCGAAAGCUUGACGGAGCAACGCCGCGUGAGUGAUGAAGGUCUUCGGAUCGUAAAACUCUGUUAUUAGGGAAGAACAAAUGUGUAAGUAACUAUGCACGUCUUGACGGUACCUAAUCAGAAAGCCACGGCUAACUACGUG